Molecule: ribosomal RNA, 492 nt
Filed under: uncultured bacterium
Lineage: Bacteria
Description: partial 16S ribosomal RNA
Rfam family: Bacterial small subunit ribosomal RNA
Source: RNAcentral
AGUGAACGCUGGCGGUAGGCCUAACACAUGCAAGUCGAACGGCAGCACAGUAAGAGCUUGCUCUUACGGGUGGCGAGUGGCGGACGGGUGAGGAAUACAUCGGAAUCUACUUUUUCGUGGGGGAUAACGUAGGGAAACUUACGCUAAUACCGCAUACGACCUACGGGUGAAAGCAGGGGAUCUUCGGACCUUGCGCGAUUGAAUGAGCCGAUGUCGGAUUAGCUAGUUGGCGGGGUAAAGGCCCACCAAGGCGACGAUCCGUAGCUGGUCUGAGAGGAUGAUCAGCCACACGGGAACUGAGACACGGUCCAGACUCCUACGGGAGGCAGCAGUGGGGAAUAUUGGACAAUGGGCGCAAGCCGGAUCCAGCCAUACCGCGUGGGUGAAGAAGGCCUUCGGGUUGGAAAGCCCUUUUGUUGGGAAAGAAAAGCAGCAGGUUAAUACCCCGCUGUUCUGACGGUACCCAAAGAAUAAGCACCGGCUAACUUCGUG